UACGUAGGGGGCUAGCGUUGUCCGGAAUCAUUGGGCGUAAAGCGCGUGUAGGCGGCCCGGUAAGUCCGCUGUGAAAGUCGGGGGCUCAACCCUCGGAAGCCGGUGGAUACUGUCGGGCUCGAGUACGGAAGAGGCGAGUGGAAUUCCUGGUGUAGCGGUGAAAUGCGCAGAUAUCAAGAGGAACACCUGCGGCGAAGGCGGGUUGCUGGGCCGACACUGACGCUGAGGCGCGAAAGCCAGGGGAGCGAACGGG
This 253-nucleotide ribosomal RNA is filed under the name uncultured bacterium. RNAcentral's name for it is "partial 16S ribosomal RNA". It matches the Rfam family "Bacterial small subunit ribosomal RNA", at positions 524 to 776 of the family's 1533-position model. The record is from RNAcentral.